This 305-nucleotide ribosomal RNA is filed under the name uncultured bacterium. Its description in RNAcentral is "bacterial SSU rRNA". It matches the Rfam family "Bacterial small subunit ribosomal RNA", at positions 337 to 634 of the family's 1533-position model. The record is from RNAcentral.
GCCUACGGGGGGCAGCAGUGGGGAAUAUUGCGCAAUGGGCGAAAGCCUGACGCAGCGACGCCGCGUGAGGGAUGAAGGUCUUCGGAUCGUAAACCUCUGUCAGCAGGGAAGAACGGUCACUGUGCUAAUCAGCAGUGAAUUGACGGUACCUGCAAAGGAAGCACCGGCUAACUCCGUGCCAGCAGCCGCGGUAAUACGGAGGGUGCGAGCGUUAAUCGGAAUUACUGGGCGUAAAGCGCUCGCAGGCGGUGUGUCAAGUCAAGGGUGAAAUCCCCGCGCUCAACGUGGGAACUGCCUUAGAAACU